GGGGUGAUGGCGCAGUUGGGAGCGCGUUAGACUGAAGCUAGAAACUUCGGCCCUCUCAUCAUCAAUAGAUGCUGAUAUCUAAAGGUCACUGGUUCGAUCCCGGUUCACCCCA
Molecule: transfer RNA, 112 nt
Filed under: Ceratocystis platani
Lineage: Eukaryota; Fungi; Ascomycota; Sordariomycetes; Microascales; Ceratocystidaceae
Also listed under: 1 other name
Rfam family: tRNA
About the family: Transfer RNA (tRNA) molecules are approximately 80 nucleotides in length. Their secondary structure includes four short double-helical elements and three loops (D, anti-codon, and T loops).
Source: Rfam by way of RNAcentral